AUUGAACGCUGGCGGCAUGCCUUACACAUGCAAGUCGAACGGCAGCACGGGAGCAAUCCUGGUGGCGAGUGGCGAACGGGUGAGUAAUAUAUCGGAACGUGCCCAGUCGUGGGGGAUAACGUAGCGAAAGCUACGCUAAUACCGCAUACGAUCUACGGAUGAAAGCGGGGGAUCGCAAGACCUCGCGCGAUUGGAGCGGCCGAUAUCAGAUUAGCUAGUUGGUGGGGUAAAAGCUCACCAAGGCGACGAUCUGUAGCUGGUCUGAGAGGACGACCAGCCACACUGGAACUGAGACACGGUCCAGACUCCUACGGGAGGCAGCAGUGGGGAAUUUUGGACAAUGGGCGCAAGCCUGAUCCAGCAAUGCCGCGUGCAGGAUGAAGGCCUUCGGGUUGUAAACUGCUUUUGUACGGAACGAAACGGUGAGCUCUAAUAAAGCUUGCUAAUGACGUACCGUAAGAAUAAGCACCGGCUAACU
This 478-nucleotide ribosomal RNA is filed under the name uncultured bacterium. RNAcentral's name for it is "bacterial SSU rRNA". It matches the Rfam family "Bacterial small subunit ribosomal RNA", at positions 30 to 502 of the family's 1533-position model. The record is from RNAcentral.